UAUGGCCACAUCACAUUGAAACACCAGUUCUCAUACAAUCACCUAAGUUAAGCAAUGUCGAGCCAGGUCAGUACCUAGAAUGGGUGACCACUUGGGAAUGCCAGGUGCUGUAAG
This is a non-coding RNA of Acanthosepion pharaonis, 114 nucleotides long. NCBI's taxonomy places the organism in Eukaryota, Metazoa, Mollusca, Cephalopoda, Sepiida, Sepiidae. The record is from the annotation of a GenBank genome assembly.